This 455-nucleotide ribosomal RNA is filed under the name Lygisaurus laevis. Its description in RNAcentral is "partial 16S ribosomal RNA". It matches the Rfam family "Bacterial large subunit ribosomal RNA", at positions 1843 to 2557 of the family's 2925-position model. Lineage: Eukaryota; Metazoa; Chordata; Lepidosauria; Squamata; Scincidae. The record is from RNAcentral.
GUAUUAAAGGUGUUGCCUGCCCAGUGAAACAUUUUAACGGCCGCGGUAUCCUAACCGUGCAAAGGUAGCGUAAUCAUUUGUCUUUUAAAUAAAGACUCGUAUGAAAGGCUAAAUGAGGACGAAACUGUCUCUUAUAGUUGACCAGUUAAACUGAUCUCCAAGUACAAAAGCUUGGAUAAACACAUAAGACGAGAAGACCCUGUGGAGCUUAAAACCACACUAUUACAAUAAAUAGCAUAAGUUUUAAGUUGGGGCGACUUCGGAACAAAACAAAACUUCCGAGCACGGAGCCAACAGCUCUAACAUAGACCCACAAGUCAAAGAAUAAAAUGACCCAGUCACACUGAACAACGGACCAAGUUACCCCAGGGAUAACAGCGCCAUCUUCUUCAAGAGUCCAUAUCGACAAGAAGGUUUACGACCUCGAUGUUGGAUCAGGACACCCAAAUGGUGCA